GUUUCUGUAGUGUAGUGGUUAUCACGUUCGCUUUACACUGCGAAAGGUCCCUGGUUCGAAACCUGGGCAGAAGCA
This 75-nucleotide transfer RNA is filed under the name Merluccius polli (Benguela hake). It matches the Rfam family "tRNA". From Rfam's summary of the family: Transfer RNA (tRNA) molecules are approximately 80 nucleotides in length. Their secondary structure includes four short double-helical elements and three loops (D, anti-codon, and T loops). Lineage: Eukaryota; Metazoa; Chordata; Actinopteri; Gadiformes; Merlucciidae. The record is from Rfam by way of RNAcentral.